RNAcentral lists this ribosomal RNA (575 nucleotides) under Bacillus subtilis. Its description in RNAcentral is "bacterial SSU rRNA". It matches the Rfam family "Bacterial small subunit ribosomal RNA", at positions 291 to 856 of the family's 1533-position model. The record is from RNAcentral. Lineage: Bacteria; Bacillati; Bacillota; Bacilli; Caryophanales; Bacillaceae.
CCUGAGAGGGUGAUCGGCCACACUGGGACUGAGACACGGCCCAGACUCCUACGGGAGGCAGCAGUAGGGAAUCUUCCGCAAUGGACGAAAGUCUGACGGAGCAACGCCGCGUGAGUGAUGAAGGUUUUCGGAUCGUAAAGCUCUGUUGUUAGGGAAGAACAAGUACCGUUCGAAUAGGGCGGUACCUUGACGGUACCUAACCAGAAAGCCACGGCUAACUACGUGCCAGCAGCCGCGGUAAUACGUAGGUGGCAAGCGUUGUCCGGAAUUAUUGGGCGUAAAGGGCUCGCAGGCGGUUUCUUAAGUCUGAUGUGAAAGCCCCCGGCUCAACCGGGGAGGGUCAUUGGAAACUGGGGAACUUGAGUGCAGAAGAGGAGAGUGGAAUUCCACGUGUAGCGGUGAAAUGCGUAGAGAUGUGGAGGAACACCAGUGGCGAAGGCGACUCUCUGGUCUGUAACUGACGCUGAGGAGCGAAAGCGUGGGGAGCGAACAGGAUUAGAUACCCUGGUAGUCCACGCCGUAAACGAUGAGUGCUAAGUGUUAGGGGGUUUCCGCCCCUUAGUGCUGCAGCUAAC